Molecule: ribosomal RNA, 706 nt
Filed under: Tomentella sp. 472 VM-2015
Lineage: Eukaryota; Fungi; Basidiomycota; Agaricomycetes; Thelephorales; Thelephoraceae
Description: eukaryotic LSU rRNA
Rfam family: 5.8S ribosomal RNA (bases 270-424)
Source: RNAcentral
UCUUGGUCAUUUAGAGGAAGUAAAAGUCGUAACAAGGUUUCCGUAGGUGAACCUGCGGAAGGAUCAUUACCGAAUUGUCGGCACGAGUUGUUGCUGGUCCUCAGAUGGGGGCAUGUGCACGCUCUGUCUACACAUCCACUCACACCUGUGCACCCUCUGUAGUUCUGUGGCCUGGGCGACUCUGUCCCCUUGCUGUGGUUCUGCGUCUUUACACACACACCGUAACAAAGUCUUGUGGAAUGUGCACCGCGUUUAACGCAAUACAAUACAACUUUCAGCAACGGAUCUCUUGGCUCUCGCAUCGAUGAAGAACGCAGCGAAAUGCGAUAAGUAAUGUGAAUUGCAGAAUUCAGUGAAUCAUCGAAUCUUUGAACGCACCUUGCGCCCUUUGGCUAUUCCGAAGGGCAUGCCUGUUUGAGUAUCAUGAACACCUCAACUCUCAUGGUUUGCCAUGAUGAGCUUGGACUUUGGGGGUCUUGCUGGCCUAUGGUCGGCUCCUCUCAAAUGAAUCAGCUUGCCAGUGUUUGGUGGCAUCGCAGGUGUGAUAACUGUCUACACUUGUGGUUUUCCACCAGAUAACCUUCAGUGAUGAAGGUUCGCUGGAGCUCACAAAUGUCUCUCCUCGGCGAGGACAGCUUUCUGAACAUUUGAUCUCAAAUCAGGUAGGACCACCCGCUGAACUUAAGCAUAUCAAUAAGCGGAGGAA